This 674-nucleotide long non-coding RNA is filed under the name Numida meleagris (helmeted guineafowl). Its description in RNAcentral is "lncRNA (ENSNMEG00000015620.1)". The record is from RNAcentral. Lineage: Eukaryota; Metazoa; Chordata; Aves; Galliformes; Numididae.
UUUAGCUUUGCCCCAACAUACAUUUAUAAAUUAUGCAGUUUGACUGCAACUGUGUGUUAAACAAACAUCUCUGUACUGGACAUGAAGUUUCAUAUACACUUCUCUCGUCUUGGUAGAGAAGUGUGAUUUAACCCUAACAACAUGGCUUUGUGUGAGAAGAACGAAAGCAUGCUGUGGUAACAGAGUGACCUUCACUGAAGUCAAUGACCAUUAAGAAUUGAAAAAGCUUCCGGGACUGGGUAUGCAACUAUUAUGACAGAGUGCUGACUGCCUCCAUUUGCCAAGGCCUGAAUGCUUUGCUGGAUGACGACUUUAACAUAACUGAAAAGUGACCUCGAAGGAUUUGCUGACGGGAUUUCAUCAUCAAAAAGCCUAUCAGCAGGCUUGCAGGUUCGCCAUCACCUCAGGGACCUUUCAGGACUUUUUCCCCACACAUUGCUUCAUCACUUCGGAACCAGACAACACCAAAUUCUUAAUCCACACAGUCUGCAGAGAUUCAGAGACCAUCCUGUCUGAUGCAGCAGUCCCAGUCCCUUCCUACUUUCAAAAGGGUAACAAGGAGGAGCAGGAGCAGGAGGGAGCAGGAGAAACAAGAAGGCUGGCCUGUGCUUUCCAGCGUUUUCUAAAAUAUUCCAUUUUUUUUUUCUGAACUGAAUAAAUUUAACAAACUACAC